UAGAAGACAUCCGAAAGGGAUUAAAGAUUUAUCGGUGAUGGAUGGGGAUGCGUCUGAUUAGCUUGUUGGCGGGGUAACGGCCCACCAAGGCGACGAUCAGUAGGGGUUCUGAGAGGAAGGUCCCCCACAUUGGAACUGAGACACGGUCCAAACUCCUACGGGAGGCAGCAGUGAGGAAUAUUGGUCAAUGGGCGAGAGCCUGAACCAGCCAAGUAGCGUGCAGGAUGACGGCCCUAUGGGUUGUAAACUGCUUUUAUAAGGGAAUAAAGUGAGCCACGUGUGGUUUUUUGCAUGUACCUUAUGAAUAAGGACCGGCUAAUUCCGUGCCAGCAGCCGCGGUAAUACGGAAGGUCCGGGCGUUAUCCGGAUUUAUUGGGUUUAAAGGGAGCGUAGGCCGGAGAUUAAGCGUGUUGUGAAAUGUAGAUGCUCAACAUCUGAACUGCAGCGCGAACUGGUUUCCUUGAGUACGCAUAAAGUGAGCGGAAUUCGUGGUGUAGCGGUGAAAUGCUUAGAUAUCACGAAGAACUCCGAUUGCGAAGGCAGCUCACUGGGGCGCAACUGACGCUGAAGCUCGAAAGCGCGGGUAUCGAACAGGAUUAGAUACCCUGGUAGUCCGCGCGGUAAACGAUGGAUGCCCGCUGUUGGGCCAACUGGUUCAGCGGCCAAGCGAAAGCAUUAAGCAUCCCACCUGGGGAGUAC
This 699-nucleotide ribosomal RNA is filed under the name uncultured bacterium. RNAcentral's name for it is "bacterial SSU rRNA". It matches the Rfam family "Bacterial small subunit ribosomal RNA", at positions 170 to 883 of the family's 1533-position model. The record is from RNAcentral.